RNAcentral lists this long non-coding RNA (399 nucleotides) under Homo sapiens (human). RNAcentral's name for it is "HSALNT0229423". Lineage: Eukaryota; Metazoa; Chordata; Mammalia; Primates; Hominidae. The record is from RNAcentral.
CCUUGGGGUGCACAUGGGUCCAGGAGAGGGGGCCCCUGGACACAGAGUCAGGGGGUACCCCACAGGACAGCCAGAGUGUGGAGCCAGGGGCCAUGGUUAUAGAGCAGAGGACUCCAAAAGCUGGGAGUGGAGGAGCCGGCAGAGUCCUUCCAACCCUUUCCUGAAUUUUACAAAUAAGAAAAUGGAGGCUCAGAGAGGGAGGCCGAGGCGAGAGGAUCCUUUGAGGACAGGAAUUUGAGACCAGCCUGUGCAACACAGCGAGAACCCAUCUCUAUAGAAAUUUUUUAAAAAACAAAAAAUGUCAGUUGCUUUUCAUCUAGCUAAAAUAAAAACUCCAACCCAAGGCCUAGUAGGCCGAGUGUUGCUGACCUACCUACAUUUUCCACCUCGUGCCUCCAC